UAACGCGUGAGGAACCUGCCUUGAAGAGGGGGGAAACAGUUGGAAACGACUGCUAAUACCGCAUGAAGCAUAGGGGUCGCAUGAUCUUUAUGCCAAAGAUUUAUCGCUUCAAGAUGGCCUCGCGUCUGAUUAGCUAGUUGGCGGGGUAACGGCCCACCAAGGCGACGAUCAGUAGCCGGACUGAGAGGUUGAACGGCCACAUUGGGACUGAGAUACGGCCCAG
RNAcentral lists this ribosomal RNA (223 nucleotides) under uncultured bacterium. RNAcentral's name for it is "partial 16S ribosomal RNA". It matches the Rfam family "Bacterial small subunit ribosomal RNA", at positions 111 to 334 of the family's 1533-position model. The record is from RNAcentral.